GAUGAACGCUGGCGGCGUGCCUAAUACAUGCAAGUCGAGCGAACGGACGAGAAGCUUGCUUCUCUGAUGUUAGCGGCGGACGGGUGAGUAACACGUGGAUAACCUACCUAUAAGACUGGGAUAACUUCGGGAAACCGGAGCUAAUACCGGAUAAUAUUUUGAACCGCAUGGUUCAAAAGUGAAAGACGGUCUUGCUGUCACUUAUAGAUGGAUCCGCGCUGCAUUAGCUAGUUGGUAAGGUAACGGCUUACCAAGGCAACGAUGCAUAGCCGACCUGAGAGGGUGAUCGGCCACACUGGAACUGAGACACGGUCCAGACUCCUACGGGAGGCAGCAGUAGGGAAUCUUCCGCAAUGGGCGAAAGCCUGACGGAGCAACGCCGCGUGAGUGAUGAAGGUCUUCGGAUCGUAAAACUCUGUUAUUAGGGAAGAACAUAUGUGUAAGUAACUGUGCACAUCUUGACGGUACCUAAUCAGAAAGCCACGGCUAACUACGUGCCAGCAGCCGCGGUAAUACGUAGGUGGCAAGCGUUAUCCGGAAUUAUUGGGCGUAAAGCGCGCGUAGGCGGUUUUUUAAGUCUGAUGUGAAAGCCCACGGCCCAACCGUGGAGGGUCAUUGGAAACUGGAAAACUUGAGUGCAGAAGAGGAAAGUGGAAUUCCAUGUGUAGCGGUGAAAUGCGCAGAGAUAUGGAGGAACACCAGUGGCGAAGGCGACUUUCUGGUCUGUAACUGACGCUGAUGUGCGAAAGCGUGGGGAUCAAACAGGAUUAGAUACCCUGGUAGUCCACGCCGUAAACGAUGAGUGCUAAGUGUUAGGGGGUUUCCGCCCCUUAGUGCUGCAGCUAACGCAUUAAGCACUCCGCCUGGGGAGUACGACCGCAAGGUUGAAACUCAAAGGAAUUGACGGGGACCCGCACAAGCGGUGGAGCAUGUGGUUUAAUUCGAAGCAACGCGAAGAACCUUACCAAAUCUUGACAUCCUUUGACAACUCUAGAGAUAGAGCUUUCCCCUUCGGGGGACAAAGUGACAGGUGGUGCAUGGUUGUCGUCAGCUCGUGUCGUGAGAUGUUGGGUUAAGUCCCGCAACGAGCGCAACCCUUAAGCUUAGUUGCCAUCAUUAAGUUGGGCACUCUAAGUUGACUGCCGGUGACAAACCGGAGGAAGGUGGGGAUGACGUCAAAUCAUCAUGCCCCUUAUGAUUUGGGCUACACACGUGCUACAAUGGACAAUACAAAGGGCAGCGAAACCGUGAGGUCAAGCAAAUCCCAUAAAGUUGUUCUCAGUUCGGAUUGUAGUCUGCAACUCGACUACAUGAAGCUGGAAUCGCUAGUAAUCGUAGAUCAGCAUGCUACGGUGAAUACGUUCCCGGGUCU
Molecule: ribosomal RNA, 1372 nt
Filed under: uncultured bacterium
Lineage: Bacteria
Description: bacterial SSU rRNA
Rfam family: Bacterial small subunit ribosomal RNA
Source: RNAcentral